GGACAGGUGGUUGCAUGGUUGUCGUCAGCUCGUGUCGUGAGAUGUUGGGUUAAGUCCCGCAACGAGCGCAACCCUUAUUGCUAGUUACCAUCAUUGAGUUGGGGACUCUAGCGAGACUGCCAGCGAUAAGCUGGAGGAAGGUGGGGAUGACGUCAAAUCAUCAUGCCCCUUAUGACCUGGGCUACAAACGUGAUACAAUGGCUGGAACAAAGGGAGGCGAAGGGGUGACCUGGAGCGAAACCCAAAAAUACAGUCUCAGUUCGGAUUGAAGUCUGCAACUCGACUUCAUGAAGUCGGAAUCGCUAGUAAUCGCGGAUCAGAACGCCGCGGUGAAUACGUUCUCGGGGUUU
RNAcentral lists this ribosomal RNA (350 nucleotides) under uncultured Acholeplasma sp. Its description in RNAcentral is "bacterial SSU rRNA". It matches the Rfam family "Bacterial small subunit ribosomal RNA", at positions 1032 to 1382 of the family's 1533-position model. Lineage: Bacteria; Bacillati; Mycoplasmatota; Mollicutes; Acholeplasmatales; Acholeplasmataceae. The record is from RNAcentral.